GGGGAAUAUUGCACAAUGGGCGGAAGCCUGAUGCAGCGACGCCGCGUGAGUGAUGAAGGCCUUCGGGUUGUAAAGCUCUUUCGCACGCGACGAUGAUGACGGUAGCGUGAGAAGAAGCCCCGGCUAACUUCGUGCCAGCAGCCGCGGUAAUACGAAGGGGGCUAGCGUUGUUCGGAAUUACUGGGCGUAAAGGGCCCGUAGGCGGUGUGUCAAGUCAGGCGUGAAAGCCCCGGGCUCAACCUGGGAACCGCGCUUGAGACUGGCACGCUCGAGUUCGGGAGAGGAUGGUGGAAUUCCCAGUGUAGAGGUGAAAUUCGUAGAUAUUGGGAAGAACACCGAUGGCGAAGGCAGCCAUCUGGACCGACACUGACGCUGAGGCGCGAAAGCGUGGGGAGCAAAC
RNAcentral lists this ribosomal RNA (400 nucleotides) under uncultured bacterium. Its description in RNAcentral is "bacterial SSU rRNA". It matches the Rfam family "Bacterial small subunit ribosomal RNA", at positions 356 to 773 of the family's 1533-position model. The record is from RNAcentral.